This 3561-nucleotide long non-coding RNA is filed under the name Salmo salar (Atlantic salmon). RNAcentral's name for it is "lncRNA (ENSSSAG00000094313.1)". The record is from RNAcentral. Lineage: Eukaryota; Metazoa; Chordata; Actinopteri; Salmoniformes; Salmonidae.
CCCUCCUCCAGCUCCCACAGAGUAGGAGUGUAUCUGGACUGGUCAGCCGGCACUCUGUCCUUCUAUAGAGCCUCCUCUGACACACUGACCCACCUGAUCACAUUCACCUCCACAUUCACUGAGCCCCUCUAUCCAGGGUUUGGGGUUGAUUAUGAAUCCUCAGUGUCCCUGAAAUAAUAACUGGACACACACACACACACACACACACACACACACACACACACACACACACACACACACACACACACACACACACACACACACACACACACUGGACACAGACACACACACACACACAAACUGGACACACGCACACACUGGACACAGACACACACACACACUGGACACAGACACACACACACACUGGACACACACACACACACACACAGGACACACACACACACACCAACACACUGGACACACACACACACACUGGACACACACACACACUGAACAUACACACAGGACACACACACACACACUGGAUAUACACACACUCAACACACACACACACACACUGGAAACAAAUUGGACACACACACACUGGACACAAAAUGCACACACACUCACAGACAUUCUGGACACACACACACACACACUGGACACAAACUGGACACACACAUAAACAUACACUCAACACACACACACACUGAACACACACACAAACACUGGGCACAUACUCACACACACACACACACACACACACUCUGGACAUACACACACACACUUGACACAGACACUGGACACACACACACAUUUUGGACACACACACUCACACACACACACACAGGACACACACACACACUGGACACACACACUGGACACACACACAUACACACACACACACACUGAACACACACACACUGAACACACACACACACUGAACACACACACACACACUGAACACACACACACACUGGGCACAUACUCACACACACUGGACACACACACACUCUGGACACACACACACACACUUGACACAGACACUGGACACACACACGCACUGGACAGGUCCCCCUCUCCAUGUAAUCUGAUUCAUUAUGAUAUAGGAUCAGGUCCCCCCUCUCCAUGUAAUCUGAUUCAUUAUGAUCUAGGAUCAGGUCCCCCCUCUCCAUGUAAUCUGAUUCAUUAUGAUCUAGGAUCAGGUCCCCCCUCUCCAUGUAAUCUGAUUCAUUAUGAUCUAGGAUCAGGUCCCCCCUCUCCAUGUAAUCUGAUUCAUUAUGAUCUAGGAUCAGGUCCCCCCUCUCCAUUUAAUCUGAUUCAUUAUGAUCUAGGAUCAGGUCCCUCCUCUCCAUGUAAUCUGAUUCAUUAUGGUCUAGGAUCAGGUCCCCCCUCUCCAUGUAAUCUGAUACACGUACAUACAUACAUACACACUGUAUAUAUACACGUACAUACAUACAUACACACUGUAUAUAUACACGUACAUACAUACAUACACACUGUAUAUAUAUACACGUACAUACACACUGUAUAUAUAUACACGUACAUACAUACAUACACACUGUAUAUAUAUACACGUACAUACAUACAUACACACUGUAUAUAUAUACACGUACAUACAUACAUACACACUGUAUAUAUAUACACAUACAUACAUACACACUGUAUAUAUAUACACGUACAUACAUACAUACACACUGUAUAUAUAUACAUACACGUACAUACAUACAUACACACUGUAUAUAUAUACAUACACGUACAUACAUACAUACACGUACAUACAUACAUACACACUGUAUAUAUAUACAUACACGUACAUACAUACAUACACACUGUAUAUAUAUACAUACACGUACAUACAUACAUACAUACACACUGUAUAUAUAUACAUACGUGUACAUACAUACAUACAUACACACUGUAUAUAUAUACAUACAUACAUACACACUGUAUAUAUAUACAGAAAUCCACUGUUUAUUUGAGGUAAAAAGGGAUGACCAGAGAGUACCCAUGAAGUUGUACAACAUUUGACAAGACAGUCAAGACCUAAGCAGUGUGCCAGAUGACCUUUGGCCUCCAAUAUAGGCCCCUUUCUGUGUUUGCUAAAAUUGCAGCGAUGCACACGCAAUUUGGUUGUAGAAACUCCUCCAUUCUAAUGAGGAAACCACUAGUUAUGGAUGUAGUAUAUCUGCUAAUGAGGAAACCACUAGUUAUGGAUGUAGUAUAUCUGCUAAUGAGGAAACCACUAGUUAUGGAUGUAGUAUAUCUGCUAAUGAGGAAACCACUAGUUAUGGAUGUAGUAUAUUUGGUAAUGAGGAAACCACUAGUUAUGGAUGUAGUAUAUCUGGUAAUGAAGAAACCACUAGUUAUGGAUGUAGUAUAUCUGGUAAUGAGAAAACCACUAGUUAUGGAUGUAGUAUAUCUGGUCAUGAGGAAACCACUAGUUAUGGAUGUAGUAUAUCUGGUAAUGAGGAAACCACUAGUUAUGGAUGUAGGAUAUCUGGUAAUGAGGAAACCACUAGUUAUGGAUGUAGGAUAUCUGGUAAUGAGGAAACCACUAGUUAUGGAUGUAGUAUAUCUGCCUGGAGCAAAAAUGGUGAGCGAAGAUGAUCGUUUUUCACAAUGUAUUCUGAAUAUUACAGCGCACUAUCAGGACAAGAUCAGGAGUGCUACUCAAGUAAACUCACAUUAAGUUCUGUCUAUUCACUAAUUCAGCACUGUGGGGGAAAACUCAGGAGAGUUCUCAUAGGCUGACAGCAAAAAUAGCCUCCAUUUACAGGUUGCAUAUGAGUGCAUUUAACAUUACUUUUGGAUUAUAAUUGUAAAGCUCGUUUGAACCUCCUGCUUAAUAUGUUUGCGUUAUUGUCGCAAAUCAACUGCUUUACACUUAAAAAACACUUCAACCAGUAAAAUGCUCUUUGGCUAGCUUUAACAUCAGCCUGACAAUGAGGGUUUGUACACUAAGUGUUUAACAAAUUGGCCCAUAACUUCACCUAACAAUAACAUAGACCUACUGUAGGACCCAUAACUUUAUCUAACAACGACAUAGACGUAGGACUAUAAAUCAUUUAAUAUUUCAGGUGAAACAUGGACACUAAAAUGUCUGUCGUGACGUUUCAUAACCUGAUCACCAGAUAAUUUUGUGAAUAAUCCCACUAGGCUACUCUGUAAUGUGUUGUCAUUCUAAAUGUCCUGAAUAAAGGAAAAUAGCUCUGUGUGUUGAACAAUAGCCUAUCCAUCAAGGAACAGUUCUCUACACAUUAUGAGCAAAGUAGGGAUGUUGGAUCCAACGUGGAGUGUAUCUCUGUGCACAAACAGAGUAAUGAGACCCUACUGUAAAUCAGCCAGACAGUAACACAUUAUAAACAUCGAUUUGUUUGGGAUGUUGGAUCCAACGUGGAGCACGGCAUAACUGUCUUUACCAGAGUAAUGAAUGAAGAAGCACUUUGGUUGUUGUUGCAUGUCGUGAUGUUUGUCAUGUGACUGUCAUUCAGAAAAUGAUUUCGUGGAUCAGCUGAUGAUAGUUGAACAUGUGACUGUAAAUAAACAGCUACAGUAUUAAGAAUUAUGUGUAAUUAUUGAAGAACCACGUUAAUGACAGUAUCCAUUUGGGUGUUGUCA